Molecule: ribosomal RNA, 118 nt
Filed under: Lepisosteus oculatus (spotted gar)
Lineage: Eukaryota; Metazoa; Chordata; Actinopteri; Semionotiformes; Lepisosteidae
Source: RNAcentral
GCCAGCAGCUAUAUCACCCUGCAACUCACAACUGGCAACCCACUGAAGCUAAGCAGGUGUGAGCCUGGCCAGUACCUGGAUAAGAGACCUCAUGGGAAAGCUAAGGUUGCUGCUGAAA